CCUGUGGCUCAGAGGUUAAAGCGUCUGCCUCCAAUGCAGGAGGCCCGGGUUCAAUCCCUGGGUCAGGA
This 68-nucleotide transfer RNA is filed under the name Ovis aries (sheep). It matches the Rfam family "tRNA". From Rfam's summary of the family: Transfer RNA (tRNA) molecules are approximately 80 nucleotides in length. Their secondary structure includes four short double-helical elements and three loops (D, anti-codon, and T loops). The record is from Rfam by way of RNAcentral. Lineage: Eukaryota; Metazoa; Chordata; Mammalia; Artiodactyla; Bovidae.